This 254-nucleotide ribosomal RNA is filed under the name uncultured bacterium. RNAcentral's name for it is "partial 16S ribosomal RNA". It matches the Rfam family "Bacterial small subunit ribosomal RNA", at positions 524 to 776 of the family's 1533-position model. The record is from RNAcentral.
UACGGAGGGAGCUAGCGUUGUUCGGAAUUACUGGGCGUAAAGCGCACGUAGGCGGCUUUGUAAGUUAGAGGUGAAAGCCCGGGGCUACAACUCCGGAACUGCCUUUAAGACUGCAUCGCUUGAAUCCAGGAGAGGUGAGUGGAAUUCCGAGUGUAGAGGUGAAAUUCGUAGAUAUUCGGAAGAACACCAGUGGCGAAGGCGGCUCACUGGACUGGUAUUGACGCUGAGGUGCGAAAGCGUGGGGAGCAACAGGG